UACGUAGGGGGCAAGCGUUGUCCGGAAUUAUUGGGCGUAAAGAGCGUGUAGGCGGCCUGGAAGGUCAGCUGUGAAAACUCGAGGCUCAACCUCGAGACGUCGGUUGAAACCACCUGGCUAGAGUCCGGAAGAGGAGAGUGGAAUUCCCGGUGUAGCGGUGAAAUGCGCAGAUAUCGGGAAGAACACCCGUGGCGAAGGCGGCUCUCUGGGACGGUACUGACGCUGAGACGCGAAAGCGUGGGGAGCGAACAGG
RNAcentral lists this ribosomal RNA (253 nucleotides) under uncultured bacterium. Its description in RNAcentral is "partial 16S ribosomal RNA". It matches the Rfam family "Bacterial small subunit ribosomal RNA", at positions 524 to 776 of the family's 1533-position model. The record is from RNAcentral.